RNAcentral lists this ribosomal RNA (253 nucleotides) under uncultured bacterium. Its description in RNAcentral is "partial 16S ribosomal RNA". It matches the Rfam family "Bacterial small subunit ribosomal RNA", at positions 524 to 776 of the family's 1533-position model. The record is from RNAcentral.
CACGUGGGGCGCAAGCGUUGUCCGGAAUUAUUGGGCGUAAAGAGCUCGUAGGCGGUCUGUUGCGUCCGCUGUGAAAACCCGGGGCUUAACCCCUGGCUUGCAGUGGAUACGGACAGACUAGAGGUAGGUAGGGGAGAAUGGAAUUCCCGGUGUAGCGGUGAAAUGCGCAGAUAUCGGGAGGAACACCGGUGGCGAAGGCGGUUCUCUGGGCCUUACCUGACGCUGAGGAGCGAAAGCGUGGGGAGCGAACAGG